UGAGAUGAGGCUCAAGUGGCAGAGUUUCUGCUCGACAUGCAGAGCAUCCCGGGUUUGAUCCCCGACAUCUCCA
This 73-nucleotide transfer RNA is filed under the name Sphaerodactylus townsendi. Its description in RNAcentral is "tRNA-Val". Lineage: Eukaryota; Metazoa; Chordata; Lepidosauria; Squamata; Sphaerodactylidae. The record is from RNAcentral.